Molecule: ribosomal RNA, 406 nt
Filed under: uncultured bacterium
Lineage: Bacteria
Description: partial 16S ribosomal RNA
Rfam family: Bacterial small subunit ribosomal RNA
Source: RNAcentral
AUUGAACGCUGGCGGCAGGCCUAACACAUGCAAGUCGAACGCGUGGCGGACGGGUGAGUAAUGUCUGGGAAACUGCCUGAUGGCGGGGGAUAACUACUGGAAACGGUAGCUAAUACCGCAUACCAUCAGCUUUGCCCAGAGGGGAUUCUCUGGUUGGUGGGGUAAAGGCUCACCAAGUCGACGAUCCCUAGCUGGUCUGAGAGGAUGACCAGCCACACUGGAACUGAGACACGGUCCAGACUCCGACGGGAGGCAGCAGUGGGGAAUAUUGCACAAUGGGCGCAAGCCUGAUGCAGCCAUGCCGCGUGUAUGAAGAAGGCCUUCGGGUUGUAAAGUACUUUCAGCGGGGAGGCGUUACCCGCACAAGAAGCACCGGCUAACUCCGUGCCAGCAGCCGCGGUAAUAC